RNAcentral lists this ribosomal RNA (1248 nucleotides) under metagenome. RNAcentral describes it as "bacterial SSU rRNA". It matches the Rfam family "Bacterial small subunit ribosomal RNA", at positions 201 to 1464 of the family's 1533-position model. The record is from RNAcentral.
UUAAAGAUUUAUCGGUGAUGGAUGGGGAUGCGUCUGAUUAGCUUGUUGGCGGGGUAACGGCCCACCAAGGCAACGAUCAGUAGGGGUUCUGUGAGGAAGGUCCCCCACAUUGGAACUGAGACACGGUCCAAACUCCUACGGGAGGCAGCAGUGAGGAAUAUUGGUCAAUGGGCGAGAGCCUGAACCAGCCAAGUAGCGUGCAGGAAGACGGCCCUAUGGGUUGUAAACUGCUUUUAUAAGGGAAUAAAGUUAGUCUCGUGAGACUUUUUGCAUGUACCUUAUGAAUAAGGACCGGCUAAUUCCGUGCCAGCAGCCGCGGUAAUACGGAAGGUCCGGGCGUUAUCCGGAUUUAUUGGUUUAAAGGGAGCGUAGGCCGGAGAUUAAGCGUGUUGUGAAAUGUAGACGCUCAACGUCUGCACUGCAGCGCGAACUGGUUUCCUUGAGUACGCACAAAGUGGGCGGAAUUCGUGGUGUAGCGGUGAAAUGCUUAGAUAUCACGAAGAACUCCGAUUGCGAAGGCAGCUCACUGGAGCGCAACUGACGCUGAAGCUCGAAAGUGCGGGUAUCGAACAGGAUUAGAUACCCUGGUAGUCCGCACGGUAAACGAUGGAUGCCCCUGUUGGUCUGAACAGGUCAGCGGCCAAGCGAAAGCAUUAAGCAUCCCACCUGGGGAGUACGCCGGCAACGGUGAAACUCAAAGGAAUUGACGGGGGCCCGCACAAGCGGAGGAACAUGUGGUUUAAUUCGAUGAUACGCGAGGAACCUUACCCGGGCUUGAAUUGCAGAGGAAGGAUUUGGAGACAAUGACGCCCUUCGGGGUCUCUGUGAAGGUGCUGCAUGGUUGUCGUCAGCUCGUGCCGUGAGGUGUCGGCUUAAGUGCCAUAACGAGCGCAACCCCUCUCCUUAGUUGCCAUCAGGUUAAGCUGGGCACUCUGGGGACACUGCCACCGUAAGGUGUGAGGAAGGUGGGGAUGACGUCAAAUCAGCACGGCCCUUACGUCCGGGGCUACACACGUGUUACAAUGGCAGGUACAGAGAGACGGUUGUACGUAAGUACGAUCAAAUCCUUAAAGCCUGUCUCAGUUCGGACUGGGGUCUGCAACCCGACCCCACGAAGCUGGAUUCGCUAGUAAUCGCGCAUCAGCCAUGGCGCGGUGAAUACGUUCCCGGGCCUUGUACACACCGCCCGUCAAGCCAUGAAAGCCGGGGGCGCCUAAAGUCCGUGACCGUAAGGAGCGGCCUAGGGCG